This 881-nucleotide ribosomal RNA is filed under the name uncultured bacterium. RNAcentral describes it as "bacterial SSU rRNA". It matches the Rfam family "Bacterial small subunit ribosomal RNA", at positions 28 to 896 of the family's 1533-position model. The record is from RNAcentral.
AUUGAACGCUGGCGGUAUGCUUAACACAUGCAAGUCGAACGGCAGCACGAGAGAGCUUGCUCUCUUGGUGGCGAGUGGCGGACGGGUGAGUAACGCGUAGGAAUCUGCCUAGUAGUGGGGGACAACUCGGGGAAACUCGAGCUAAUACCGCAUACGCCCUACGGGGGAAAGCGGGGGAUCUUCGGACCUCGCGCUAUUAGAUGAGCCUGCGUUGGAUUAGCUUGUUGGUGAGGUAAUGGCUCACCAAGGCGACGAUCCAUAGCUGGUCUGAGAGGACGAUCAGCCACACUGGGACUGAGACACGGCCCAGACUCCUACGGGAGGCAGCAGUGGGGAAUAUUGGACAAUGGGCGAAAGCCUGAUCCAGCAAUACCUCGUGUGUGAAGAAGGCCUGCGGGUUGUAAAGCACUUUCAAUUGGGAAGAAAGGCUUAGGGUUAAUAACUCUGAGUCUUGACGUUACCUUUAGAAGAAGCACCGGCUAACUCCGUGCCAGCAGCCGCGGUAAUACGGAGGGUGCAAGCGUUAAUCGGAACUACUGGGCGUAAAGCGCGCGUAGGUGGUUUUGUAAGUCAGAUGUGAAAGCCCUGGGCUCAACCUGGGGAUUGCAUUUGAUACUGCGUGACUAGAGUAUAGUAGAGGGAAGCGGAAUUCCGGGUGUAGCGGUGAAAUGCGUAGAUAUCCGGAGGAACAUCAGUGGCGAAGGCGGCUUCCUGGACUAAUACUGACACUGAGGUGCGAAAGCGUGGGUAGCAAACAGGAUUAGAUACCCUGGUAGUCCACGCCGUAAACGAUGUCAACUAGCCGUCGGACUCAUUAUAAGGGUUUAGUGGCGAAGCUAACGCGAUAAGUUGACCGCCUGGGGAGUACGGCCGCAAGGUUA